UUUAUGCUAAGUCGAUCAUCAGUUGUAAGUGAUAUGAUUUGUUGCAGUGAAGAAGAAGUAUGUGUGGCUCUACGCAAUCAUUCAGUUCUGUUUUGUGGUCCUCUUCGCUCAUCUCUUCCACUUAGCUAUUAAGCAGCCGGUUAUGUGUAUUGUCUUAGCCACUAUGAUCGGGUUUGGACUCACCAUGACCGGCACAACGGCUGUUAAUGAGUAUUUGAAAUGGAAGAGAAGCAAUGCCCACCAGUCAGCAAGCACUUAAGUGACUCAACCACUGUUUCAGACAGCAGAGUAGAUCUUCAGUGAAGCUAGAGUUCCCUAAAGGGUUGGAUCGGUUUUUAGAUUAACCGAUUUUUUUUCUUUUUGGUUAACUGAACAAUCAGGAUCGAGUUUUCGGUUUAGCUUUAAUCAAUUUGUCUGUCUAUGUUAUGUGAGAGCAGAUUUGGUUA
Non-coding RNA from Camelina sativa (false flax), 446 nucleotides. The record is from RefSeq and is a predicted model, not a curated record. Lineage: Eukaryota; Viridiplantae; Streptophyta; Magnoliopsida; Brassicales; Brassicaceae.